RNAcentral lists this ribosomal RNA (520 nucleotides) under Ascomycota sp. MS337. Its description in RNAcentral is "eukaryotic LSU rRNA". The stretch from base 163 to 316 matches the Rfam family "5.8S ribosomal RNA". The record is from RNAcentral. Lineage: Eukaryota; Fungi; Ascomycota.
ACCGAGUUUUCAACUCCCAAACCCCUGUGAACAUACCUGAACGUUGCUUCGGCGGGACCGCCCCGGCGCCCUCAGCGGCCCGGAACCAGGCGCCCGCCGGAGGACCCAAACUCUUGCUUUAAACAGUGGCAUUCUCUGAGUCUCACAAACAAAAUAAAUCAAAACUUUCAACAACGGAUCUCUUGGCUCUGGCAUCGAUGAAGAACGCAGCGAAAUGCGAUAAGUAAUGUGAAUUGCAGAAUUCAGUGAAUCAUCGAAUCUUUGAACGCACAUUGCGCCCGCCAGUAUUCUGGCGGGCAUGCCUGUUCGAGCGUCAUUUCAACCCUCAAGCCCCCAGGGGCUUGGUGUUGGGGACCGGCCCGCCCUUCUGCGGCGGCCGCCGCCCCCGAAAUGCAGUGGCGACCUCGCCGCAGCCUCCCCUGCGUAGUAGCACAACCUCGCACCGGAGCGCGGAGACGGUCACGCCGUAAAACGCCCAACUUUCUUUAGAGUUGACCUCGGAUCAGGUAGGAAUACCCGC